This 378-nucleotide ribosomal RNA is filed under the name uncultured eukaryote. Its description in RNAcentral is "partial 18S ribosomal RNA". It matches the Rfam family "Eukaryotic small subunit ribosomal RNA", at positions 592 to 976 of the family's 1831-position model. The record is from RNAcentral.
CAAUAGCGUAUAUUAAAGUUGUUGCAGUUAAAAAGCUCGUAGUUGGAUUUCUGUUCUUGGGAUCUGGUCCGCCUCACGGUGAGCACUGGAUAACUGGGGACAUCCUCUCGAAGGCGGCAGGUGCACUUGAUUGUGUGUUUGUUGAAUUCGGGACCUUUACUUUGAAAAAAUUAGAGUGUUCAAAGCAGGCGUCGGCUUGAAUACAUUAGCAUGGAAUAAUGGAAUAGGACUUUGGUUCUAUUUCGUUGGUUUCUAGGACCGAAGUAAUGAUUAAUAGGGACAGUUGGGGGCAUUAGUAUUUAAUUGUCAGAGGUGAAAUUCUUGGAUUUAUGAAAGACUAACUACUGCGAAAGCAUUUGCCAAGGAUGUUUUCAUUAA